This 73-nucleotide transfer RNA is filed under the name Pezophaps solitaria. Its description in RNAcentral is "tRNA-Tyr". It matches the Rfam family "tRNA". From Rfam's summary of the family: Transfer RNA (tRNA) molecules are approximately 80 nucleotides in length. Their secondary structure includes four short double-helical elements and three loops (D, anti-codon, and T loops). Further hydrogen bonds mediate the characteristic L-shaped molecular structure. tRNAs have two regions of fundamental functional importance: the anti-codon, which is responsible for specific mRNA codon recognition, and the 3' end, to which the tRNAs corresponding amino acid is attached (by aminoacyl-tRNA synthetases). tRNAs cope with the degeneracy of the genetic code in two manners: having more than one tRNA (with a specific anti-codon) for a particular amino acid; and 'wobble' base-pairing, i.e. permitting non-standard base-pairing at the 3rd anti-codon position. The record is from RNAcentral. Lineage: Eukaryota; Metazoa; Chordata; Aves; Columbiformes; Raphidae.
GGUAAGAUGGCUGAGUGUCUAUAAGCGUUAGGCUGUAGUCCUUUUUACAGGGGUUAAAUUCCCCUUCUUAUCG